UCCCUCUCAGGGUCGCACUUGGAGAGUUUCCAGUACUCUACCAGUGUUGGCUAUCGGAGAGAGAGUCAAGCAGAGGCAUACCCAUUCCAUUUCUAGCUUGGUGGUGGCUAGCAAGUGGAAGGUAAUCUGCUGCAAGU
This is a small nucleolar RNA of Ornithorhynchus anatinus (platypus), 137 nucleotides long. The record is from RefSeq and is a predicted model, not a curated record. Lineage: Eukaryota; Metazoa; Chordata; Mammalia; Monotremata; Ornithorhynchidae.